CAUUCUCUUGUACAAGGAAUAGUAAUCAUUCUCUUGCUUUGCACUUUGCUACUUUAUGACAUAAAUUUCAGAGAAAACGGGGCACAAAUAGUAAUCAUGGCUUCUUGCUUCACAUAAAGAAAAUGUUGCACAUUCUGUCUGUCUGUGAAGGAAGAGGCCAUGAUCACUAUCUGUGCCAUGCUUUCACAUUCUGUUUGCUUCGGAUGAUGAUGAUGGUCAUUGUUGAAGAAGGUGAUGAAUUGCUUGAUGGGGUGAUCAAGAUCCUCCAACAAGAUGCUCUUCCUCAAAUUGAAAUUGUUGAUCCUUUUUUCACAAAUGGAAAUGGAUCAAACGUUUGGAUCAUCUCAUCUUGCCGGAGUUUCAAUGGAGUUCUCAGUGCGAAUGCAAGAUCAAAGGGAUUCAAGGAGAGCAGCAACAUUACGAAGACUAUUUUCAGGGAAUGAAAUAAUCAAGAAAUCCACAACGGAAUUCCUCAUAAUCAAUAUUUAGCAUGAUCUGAAGACGGGGAGGAGUUUGCAGAGAAUCUCAGCAAUAUUGGUGAAUGGAAGAUGAAAGUAUCAAUAUGUUGGACUUCUUGCUGGAAGAUGUAAGCACUCCAUAGAUGGUGUUGGACUUCUUGCCUUCCGAAGAUCUCAGCAAAAUAUUCCACAGAUGGAUCCCUCAAUAAAUUGUAUAUUCUUUUUCACUAAAAAGCAAGACAAAUGACAGUAUAUUUAUCUUGAAUAUUCUUUCUGGUUACUGGUUUUGUUCUUUUGGGUGUUAAUAAGUUGUCAUUUUGGGGGUUCCUUCCUCUGCAAGCAACUUGACAUGGUCAUCUUAAGAUAUUGGGGCUUGAGGUUCGCAACAGAGACCUAGCCUUGUACGGUGGACAUUAGGGAUGUAAUUCAAAAUUGUCGAUUGUAAUUUUUAGGACUUUAAAAGUUAUUCAAAUGAAAAUAGACGAGAUUCAUUUGUUCGUUUGAUUCUUGAAACUGAAUUAUUGUUAUUGGGCAUUGCAGAGUAAUUCUGGCCUAUUCUUUAAUCCAA
Long non-coding RNA from Cryptomeria japonica (Japanese cedar), 1026 nucleotides. RefSeq lists it as uncharacterized. NCBI's taxonomy places the organism in Eukaryota, Viridiplantae, Streptophyta, Pinopsida, Cupressales, Cupressaceae. The record is from RefSeq and is a predicted model, not a curated record. The transcript is spliced from 3 exons.